AUUGAACGCUGGCGGCAUGCCUUACACAUGCAAGUCGAACGGCAGCACGGGAGCUUGCUCCUGGUGGCGAGUGGCGAACGGGUGAGUAAUACAUCGGAACGUACCCUGAAGUGGGGGAUAACGUAGCGAAAGUUACGCUAAUACUGCAUAUUCUGUGAGCAGGAAAGAGGGGGAUCGCAAGACCUCUUGCUUUAGGAGCGGCCGAUGUCGGAUUAGCUAGUUGGUGAGGUAAAGGCUCACCAAGGCGACGAUCCGUAGCGGGUCUGAGAGGAUGAUCCGCCACACUGGGACUGAGACACGGCCCAGACUCCUACGGGAGGCAGCAGUGGGGAAUUUUGGACAAUGGGCGCAAGCCUGAUCCAGCCAUGCCGCGUGAGUGAAGAAGGCC
This 388-nucleotide ribosomal RNA is filed under the name uncultured bacterium. RNAcentral describes it as "bacterial SSU rRNA". It matches the Rfam family "Bacterial small subunit ribosomal RNA", at positions 30 to 416 of the family's 1533-position model. The record is from RNAcentral.